UCUCAGGAAAAGAAUUUUAGUCCAACCUAAAGUCACAUUAAUACAAUUAAAUAAACACCUGACUUUAGAGCAACUCAAAUAAGGUACAGCCUGUUUGAGAUAGGAAACAACCUUCACCAAUGGGUAACUAGGCCCCCCGGCAAUAUGAUCAAGUAGGCCUAAGAGCAGCCACCUUUUUAAGAGCGUCAAAGCUUAAAUAUUAGCCCAACAAAUAACCUCACUUCUAUUGACCCCUUCAACCGUACUGAGUACUUCUAUACUCUUAUAGAACCUUUCAUGUUAAAACUAGUAACAAGAAGUAAAACUUCUCUUUUAUGCAAGUAUAAGUCAACUAGAACCCAUCAAUGACAAUUAACAACUGACAAAUAGUAACUUCACCAGAAAACCCUAUUAUAUUACCACAUUAAUCUAACACAAGAGCAUAACAAGACAGAUUCAAAGAAAAAGAAGGAACUCGGCAAACCUCUAACCCCGCCUGUUUACCAAAAACAUCGCCUCUUGCUAACAUAAGAGGUCCAGCCUGCCCAGUGACUUCUGUUUAACGGCCACGGUAUCAUAACCGUGCAAAGGUAGCGUAAUAACUUGUCUUCUAAAUGAAGACUAGUAUGAAAGGCAUCACGAGGGUUAAACUGUCUCCUUUUUCUAAUCAGUGAAACUAAUCCCCCCGUGAAAAAGCGAGGAUAAAAUUAUAAGACGAGAAGACCCUAUGGAGCUUUAAACUUAACAGCACUUAUUAACAAAUUUAAAAUAGCCUUCUCAAAUACCCUGCUGUAAGUUUUAGGUUGGGAAGACCGCGGAGAAAAGCUAAUCCUCCACAAUGAAACAGAACUCACUCUUAAGCAAAAAGCCACAACUUAACGCAUCAACACUCUUGACAUCCAUUGACCCAAUAAUUUGAUCAACGAACCAAGUUACCCUAGGGAUAACAGCGCCAUCCAUUUUGAGAGCUCCUAUCGACAAAUGGGCUUACGACCUCGAUGUUGGAUCAGGGUGCCCAAGUGGUGAAGCCGCUACUAAUGGUUCGUUUGUUCAACGAUUAAUACCCU
RNAcentral lists this ribosomal RNA (1046 nucleotides) under Phrynopus heimorum. RNAcentral's name for it is "partial 16S ribosomal RNA". It matches the Rfam family "Bacterial large subunit ribosomal RNA", at positions 855 to 2597 of the family's 2925-position model. Lineage: Eukaryota; Metazoa; Chordata; Amphibia; Anura; Strabomantidae. The record is from RNAcentral.